GUUUCUUUAUUUAUGUUAACUAUAUUUACCUGAUGUCUCAUCACGAAAGGAAGUGGGCAAAAUUGUCUGACUCCUUCUGGUCCUUCUCUCACAUGAAAAGAAAAGCAAAACUUCUUGCCACCCUGUAGGCUAGGAGGCAAAUGUGGAUUGUUCUCUAUAGUUGGACCCAUACCCCAGGGUGAGUGAACGCCGUAUUAUCCUGGUAUGGAAUCCAAACCCCAGGCUUUAUCUGGAACUGGACUAACUGGUCUUGAGCAUAGAGAAACAACCUAUUAGUGACUUGUUUUCUCCUAUUAGUCCACUGUGCAGAUACUAUUAGAGAAACGUCAAGGAGAAAUAAAGGACACUUUUUUUUUUUUUUUUUUUUUGGUAAGAUGGAGUCUUGCUCUGUCGCCCAGGCUGGAGUGCAGUGGCGCAAUCUCGGCUCACUGCAAGCUCCGCCUCCUGGGUUCACACCAUUCUCCUGCCUCAGCCUCCCGAGUAUCUGGUACUACAGGUGCCCGCCCCGAGGCCCAGAUAAUUUUUUGGUAUUUUUAGUAGAGACGGGGUUUCUACAUGUUAGCCAGGAUGGUCUCCAUCUCCUGACCUCGUGAUCUGCUUGCCUCGGCCUCCUGAAGUGCUGGGAUUACAGGCGUGAGCCACCGCACCUGGCAUAAAGGACAUUUUUAAACCUGAUGAGAGACCAGAAGCACAGAGAGCUUAUGCAACUUGCCCAAAGUCACAUAGCUAAAUGGUAGAGCUGGGAUUUAGCUCAUACAGACUGAAUCCAGAGAUAGAACUCCACACUAUGCCUCACUAUACUGCUUUGCCUCACCAUUGGUUGAAUGCUUGAAGAAAGAAGAAAUUUGGAAUCUAUGUCAAGAGAAAAUUGAAAAGAGCAAUAUUUACAGAAAGAAAGCCAAGGGCUGGGCACAGUGGCUCACAUCUAUAAUCCCAGCACUUUGUGGGGUCAAGGUGGGAGGAUUGCUUGAGCCCAAGAGGUCAGGGCUCCAGUGAGCCAUGAUGGUGCCGCUGCACUCCAGCCAGGACAACAGAGUAA
This 1039-nucleotide long non-coding RNA is filed under the name Homo sapiens (human). RNAcentral's name for it is "HSALNT0328869". The record is from RNAcentral. Lineage: Eukaryota; Metazoa; Chordata; Mammalia; Primates; Hominidae.